AAGUCGUAACAAGGUAACCGUAGGUGAACCUGCGGUUGGAUCAUUAAAUUGAAAAAGAGAGAGAAGAAAUUCUCUUGAUUUUAAACAUUUAGAGAUAAUUGAAUGUUUUUUUGUGGAGAGAAGAAGAGAUUCUUUUUUCCACAAAUUUAAAUAAACCAUUUUUAUUAUUAUUAUUAUAAAAUAAAAAAAAACAACUUUUGACAACGGAUCUCUUGGCUCUCGUAACGAU
Molecule: unclassified non-coding RNA, 229 nt
Filed under: fungal sp.
Lineage: Eukaryota; Fungi
Description: partial internal transcribed spacer region
Rfam family: Eukaryotic small subunit ribosomal RNA (bases 1-46)
Source: RNAcentral